Non-coding RNA from Bombyx mori (domestic silkworm), 84 nucleotides. The record is from Rfam. Lineage: Eukaryota; Metazoa; Arthropoda; Insecta; Lepidoptera; Bombycidae.
UUAACUCUGAUUUGUAUGGAGUUGGAACAGCGCCCCUAGCGGCAAACGUAGGCAAACGUUCCAAUUCCAUACAAAUUUGAGUUA